GGCGUGGCGGCUCCUAUACAUGCAGUCGAGCGGACAGAAGGGAGCUUGCUCCCGGAUGUUAGCGGCGGACGGGUGAGUAACACGUGGGUAACCUGCCUGUAAGACUGGGAUAACUCCGGGAAACCGGAGCUAAUACCGGAUAGUUCCUUGAACCGCAUGGUUCAAGGAUGAAAGACGGUUUCGGCUGUCACUUACAGAUGGACCCGCGGCGCAUUAGCUAGUUGGUGGGGUAAUGGCUCACCAAGGCGACGAUGCGUAGCCGACCUGAGAGGGUGAUCGGCCACACUGGGACUGAGACACGGCCCAGACUCCUACGGGAGGCAGCAGUAGGGAAUCUUCCGCAAUGGACGAAAGUCUGACGGAGCAACGCCGCGUGAGUGAUGAAGGUUUUCGGAUCGUAAAGCUCUGUUGUUAGGGAAGAACAAGUGCGAGAGUAACUGCUCGCACCUUGACGGUACCUAACCAGAAAGCCACGGCUAACUACGUGCCAGCAGCCGCGGUAAUACGUAGGUGGCAAGCGUUGUCCGGAAUUAUUGGGCGUAAAGGGCUCGCAGGCGGUUUCUUAAGUCUGAUGUGAAAGCCCCCGGCUCAACCGGGGAGGGUCAUUGGAAACUGGGAAACUUGAGUGCAGAAGAGGAGAGUGGAAUUCCACGUGUAGCGGUGAAAUGCGUAGAGAUGUGGAGGAACACCAGUGGCGAAGGCGACUCUCUGGUCUGUAACUGACGCUGAGGAGCGAAAGCGUGGGGAGCGAACAGGAUUAGAUACCCUGGUAGUCCACGCCGUAAACGAUGAGUGCUAAGUGUUAGGGGGUUUCCGCCCCUUAGUGCUGCAGCUAACGCAUUAAGCACUCCGCCUGGGGAGUACGGUCGCAAGACUGAAACUCAAAGGAAUUGACGGGGGCCCGCACAAGCGGUGGAGCAUGUGGUUUAAUUCGAAGCAACGCGAAGAACCUUACCAGUCUUGACAUCCUCUGACAACCCUAGAGAUAGGGCUUUCCCUUCGGGGA
RNAcentral lists this ribosomal RNA (1006 nucleotides) under Bacillus sp. (in: firmicutes). RNAcentral describes it as "bacterial SSU rRNA". It matches the Rfam family "Bacterial small subunit ribosomal RNA", at positions 38 to 1026 of the family's 1533-position model. The record is from RNAcentral. Lineage: Bacteria; Bacillati; Bacillota; Bacilli; Caryophanales; Bacillaceae.